RNAcentral lists this transfer RNA (33 nucleotides) under Steno bredanensis (rough-toothed dolphin). RNAcentral describes it as "partial tRNA-Pro". Lineage: Eukaryota; Metazoa; Chordata; Mammalia; Artiodactyla; Delphinidae. The record is from RNAcentral.
CCCAAGCUGGAAUUCUACAUAAACUAUUCCUUG